GUUGGGAACUAGAUGUAGGGGCCAUUCCACGGUUUCUGUGUCGCAGCUAACGCAUUAAGUUCCCCGCCUGGGGAGUACGGCCGCAAGGCUAAAACUCAAAGGAAUUGACGGGGGCCCGCACAAGCGGCGGAGCAUGCGGAUUAAUUCGAUGCAACGCGAAGAACCUUACCAAGGCUUGACAUACACCAGUAACGGCUAGAAAUAGUCGCCCCGCAAGGUUGGUGUACAGGUGGUGCAUGGCUGUCGUCAG
Molecule: ribosomal RNA, 250 nt
Filed under: uncultured bacterium
Lineage: Bacteria
Description: partial 16S ribosomal RNA
Rfam family: Bacterial small subunit ribosomal RNA
Source: RNAcentral